ACUCUUCAGGUUGCCGACGCAUCGAAUAACAACUUUACGCUUGUCUUGCACUAUUUCCUUUCUUUCUAUUUAUUAUGAUUUAAUUAUCGCACAUUUUUCGACGCCUGUAAAAAAUAUAUGGUCUCUCGAAGAAAUCGAAAAUUUUUCAAGUGGGGUAACGGCAUAUAGAUACAUAGCUAACCAAGUAUCUUUGGAUCCAUGGACACGACAAACGAACGUGUCCAGCGAGGCGUGGCCAACCAUUUGGAAAUAAACUAUGCCUACGUUUUCUUGACUUUCCACUUCUGAUGAAGAAAAGGAGGAGGUUUGGGGUUGGCUCUCCGUCUAGCUGAGUGACGGGUAUCCAAAGUAUAGAGUAAGAAGUAUAAAUCGCCAAUUGCGUUCUCUCUUGUUGUUAGUUCGGCCCACGAUUUUUGUUUUACUCGCAUUGAGUACGAGGCAAUUCGGAUUAGCUCAUCGUCUUUCAGUCAAGUGAGCUAAGAACGGGCAUAAAGACGCUUUACUCCGAGAUUUUGGGAUCGGAUGACAUCAUUUUGGCGACCAUCAAUAUGUGGUCUUAUGAAGUGGGAGUGGUAAGAGAGAACCUAUAAACGAUAAUCUACCAUGGCUUUUGACAGCACUAUUCCCUAUGGAAUAUUUUCUACGCAAGGAACGAAGCAUGUGAUGAGACCCUUUGAAGUAUACAUAUAUAAUCUAAAUUAGUGAUGAAAGUUGAGUCAAUACACAUGACUAUGUGCAUCUAUGGUAUAAGUCUGAGUGAAACUUACGUAAAAUAUAACAAUUGAAAGCUUUAUUUAGUUUUAUUUGUAAACAUUUUUUUCGAUGUACAAAUUUGUAUUUUAUAUAUUUAGUUUGUGAACCAUUUAGUGAAUUAUCGUGUACAAUUUAACUUUGUUUUAAAUUUAGAUGUCUGCUUUUGUUGGCCCAAAAAGCGAAAAUAAAAACUAAAAAAUGCAUUGCGUUUGCAGCUGAACAACUUUACGCUCCAUUCAGCAUUAAAAUUGCUUUGUGCCACUUUCAAAGCUAUUUCUACUGCAACAAAAGCAACUGCUUCUCUAACUUUGUUUUUUUUUCUACUGUGUUUGGUUUUAACUAUUUCUUAUUUUCUAUUUGCAAGCAUUUGGAAUGCCUCCUAUGCACUUUUAAGCUCUUUUCUUAUUGGCAACAGACACCAAAACACGUGGAACCAAAUCAAUUGAUAGUUAAAAGUGCUCCCAGGUAUAUAACCGUGCACGUAUCGUUGUCUGGAGGAAGGUCGCAAAGCAUCAGAUGGGAGGGCAUAGAAACGAUAAUUAACAAUUUCUGCCAAUUUAACACCAGUUAAAUUCCUCAACCAUCUCUUUUCAACCCUCGUUGGCUGGCACAUCACAACCGAUAAAAUAAAAAACACUUUCAGUGUAAUUGCGAACAUAUAAGACGUUGCCAUGAAACGAGCUUUCCUUUUUCGGUGUUGCCACUUUAUAAUGGAGGUUUUCCGAUGGGGUGAUCUGCGUAUGCCUCGGGAAUUUUAAUCAUUUUUCUCUGUUCGGACAUGCCUAAUAAUUUGUAGUUGCGCAUGCGCCGUUUCCAUUUCUUUGUGCUUACGGCUUACUGCAGCUGACGAAGAAUCCACAACGAAAUAUC
Molecule: long non-coding RNA, 1623 nt
Organism: Drosophila santomea
Lineage: Eukaryota; Metazoa; Arthropoda; Insecta; Diptera; Drosophilidae
Exons: 3
Source: RefSeq, a predicted model, not a curated record